AAGAAAUUAGUUAAUUUAUAACAUUAGUAUGUCAUACUAAAAUUAUUAAGGCAUUAAUAUUUCUUU
Molecule: transfer RNA, 66 nt
Filed under: Statilia sp. FY-2016a
Lineage: Eukaryota; Metazoa; Arthropoda; Insecta; Mantodea; Mantidae
Also listed under: 1 other name
Description: tRNA-Asp
Source: RNAcentral